GCUGGGAUGCUCUUGCGUGGUAGGUUUUCAAAUAAUUAUUAAAGAACGAGGAAAUGUUUGUCAUGUGAAAUAAGUGAGUAGUGCAGUUUCCAUUGUACUUGAAAAUAUCUUUUCAAAAGUGGAUCUAAGCAAAGUCUUAAAUGAAGAACAAUAGUCAAUACAUCGCCUUUGCUUCCUACGCAGAAAAACACUGCGUUGUCAAUAUAAAGUUGACUUUAGGUGUGUUCAUCGCUUAAUAAUUGGUACUUUGGAACCCAUGCAUCAGUGCAAGCACUUCACUUACAAUUGAUAUUAAGUACUUGAAAGUUCUAUAUUACAUAUACGAGGUAGAUAUAUACAUGUAAAAUUAUAGUACAGUAUAUAUUAACCUUUUUAAGAUAUUCCGGCAGAAUAUACGUUUCAAGUUUUUAGCUAAAUACACUGGCACUGCUCGCCUCGAUUACACAACAACUAAAUUAUUUAGCUGUAACUAAGUAAAACAAAUUUGGAAUAAACGAUACAUCGAUUUUAUUACAAAGCAAACGUUACAAAAUAAGACAGAAUCACUAUUCCGUUUGAUAACUCGCCUCGUUCGAGUCGUACGUACGGCGUAUAAUUUAAAACAUGGCACUUUUCUGCCAUGCAUGACGUCGCGGUAUUUGCAAAAUUAAAUAUGCCAUUCAUUUUCACGUGACGAAUAUUAUUCAACAACUAUAAUUAAACAUUAAAUAAUUUAAUACAGCAAUAUUCCAACAGUAAGUUUGAAAUAUCCUGACUUCAUGGAAUGUGGUGAAACAUCAAUCGUAUAUACUGGCAGCAAUGUGACAGUCAGGCUGCUGUAUAGUGCUGUAUGCAUAUGCAUGUGUUUCAAAUAUUCUUUGACUAUUUCAGUAUUCAGUAAUAACAGUAUUGAAAUGCUAUUCCCAACUAGGAUCCAUGCUCUUUUUCCCUUCAUGGGGACUUCGAACAGUUCGA
This is a non-coding RNA of Paramuricea clavata, 954 nucleotides long. The record is from the annotation of a GenBank genome assembly. Lineage: Eukaryota; Metazoa; Cnidaria; Anthozoa; Malacalcyonacea; Plexauridae.